UGUUGGGUGGCCGAUUAGGUGAAGGCCUUUUAAGCCUUUUAAGGACUAGGGUCCUCCAACUG
RNAcentral lists this transfer RNA (62 nucleotides) under Eurydice pulchra. RNAcentral's name for it is "tRNA-Lys". Lineage: Eukaryota; Metazoa; Arthropoda; Malacostraca; Isopoda; Cirolanidae. The record is from RNAcentral.